RNAcentral lists this ribosomal RNA (330 nucleotides) under uncultured eukaryote. RNAcentral describes it as "partial 18S ribosomal RNA". It matches the Rfam family "Eukaryotic small subunit ribosomal RNA", at positions 1470 to 1796 of the family's 1831-position model. The record is from RNAcentral.
CCCUUAGAUGUUCUGGGCCGCACGCGUGCUACACUGAUGCAUUCAACGAGUCUAAAACCUGGUCUGAUAGGGCUGGGUAAUCUUUUGAAUGUGCAUCGUGAUUGGGAUAGAUGAUUGCAAUUCUUCAUCUUCAACGAGGAAUGCCUAGUAAACGCAAGUCAUCAGCUUGCAUUGAUUACGUCCCUGCCCUUUGUACACACCGCCCGUCGCUCCUACCGAUUGAAUGUUCCGAUGAAUACCAUGGACUGAGAGUAUGAAUGGGUUCGCCUAUUUCUGCUUCUCGGGAAGUGGAGUAAAUCUUAACAUUUAGAGGAAGGAGAAGUCGUAACA